UACGGGGGGGGCAAGCGUUGUUCGGAAUUACUGGGCGUAAAGGGCUCGUAGGCGGCCAACUAAGUCGGAUGUGAAAUCCCCAGGCUUAACCUGGGAACUGCAUCCGAUACUGGAUGGCUUGAAUUCGGGAGAGGGAUGCAGAACUCCAGGUGUAGCGGUGAAAUGCGUAGAUAUCUGGAGGAAUACCGGUGGCGAAGGCGGCAUCCUGGACCGAGAUUGACGCUGAUGAGCGAAAGCUAGGGGAGCAAACGGG
RNAcentral lists this ribosomal RNA (253 nucleotides) under uncultured bacterium. Its description in RNAcentral is "partial 16S ribosomal RNA". It matches the Rfam family "Bacterial small subunit ribosomal RNA", at positions 524 to 776 of the family's 1533-position model. The record is from RNAcentral.